Molecule: ribosomal RNA, 851 nt
Filed under: Micrococcus sp. enrichment culture
Lineage: Bacteria; Bacillati; Actinomycetota; Actinomycetes; Micrococcales; Micrococcaceae
Description: bacterial SSU rRNA
Rfam family: Bacterial small subunit ribosomal RNA
Source: RNAcentral
GUGCCAGCAGCCGCGGUAAUACGUAGGGUGCGAGCGUUAUCCGGAAUUAUUGGGUGUAAAGAGCUCGUAGGCGGUUUGUCGCGUCUGUCGUGAAAGUCCGGGGCUUAACCCCGGAUCUGCGGUGGGUACGGGCAGACUAGAGUGCAGUAGGGGAGACUGGAAUUCCUGGUGUAGCGGUGGAAUGCGCAGAUAUCAGGAGGAACACCGAUGGCGAAGGCAGGUCUCUGGGCUGUAACUGACGCUGAGGAGCGAAAGCAUGGGGAGCGGACAGGAUUAGAUACCCUGGUAGUCCAUGCCGUAAACGUUGGGCACUAAGUGUGGGGACCAUUCCACGGUUUCCGCGCCGCAGCUAACGCAUUAAGUGCCCCGCCUGGGGAGUACGGCCGCAAGGCUAAAACUCAAAGGAAUUGACGGGGGCCCGCACAAGCGGCGGAGCAUGCGGAUUAAUUCGAUGCAACGCGAAGAACCUUACCAAGGCUUGACAUGUUCUCGAUCGCCGUAGAGAUACGGUUUCCCCUUUGGGGCGGGUUCACAGGUGGUGCAUGGUUGUCGUCAGCUCGUGUCGUGAGAUGUUGGGUUAAGUCCCACAACGAGCGCAACCCUCGUUCCAUGUUGCCAGCACGUAAUGGUGAGGACUCAUGGGAGACUGCCGGGGUCAACUCGGAGGAAGGUGAGGACGACGUCAAAUCAUCAUGCCCCUUAUGUCUUGGGCUUCACGCAUGCUGCAAUGGCCGGUACAAUGGGUUGCGAUACUGUGAGGUGGAGCUAAUCCCAAAAAGCCGGUCUCAGUUCGGAUUGGGGGUCUGCAACUCGACCCCCAUGAAGUCGGAGUCGCUAGUAAUCGCAGAUCA